AUGUAUACUUCAACCCGCAAUCUCACAGUAUUUCAUUGCGAACUAAAAAAGGAGCAAAUUCAUUUUAGAUUUUUUUGCCUUGACCAUUGCAUUUGUGGCACUUUAUUUCUUACAAAAUUAUGAAUAUAAAGUACUCUAGCGGGGGAGUGGUUGGGGUGGAGUUAACUAGCUAUUGUUCCCACCCAUUAUCUCCCUGUGAGAAGUGUGAAAAGUUCAAGAUCUUUCAAGGGGAUUUUCUCUGCUACUUGAUUUUAGGAGUACCAACAUUCAAAUAAGCAUAUCUUCAACUA
Molecule: long non-coding RNA, 290 nt
Organism: Anguilla rostrata (American eel)
Lineage: Eukaryota; Metazoa; Chordata; Actinopteri; Anguilliformes; Anguillidae
Exons: 2
Source: RefSeq, a predicted model, not a curated record